AUCCCUUUGGUUGAAAACUACAUUCUUCACUUCUCUCUUGGAACAAAAAACAUCUUCAAGUUAUUUAACAUAUAACUGAAUGACUUUAGAGAUUGUAUAUUUCCACGCAAAGUGAGGAAAGAUCUCAUUGGCUCUCUGCUUGCUAGAAUGUGACAAAAUAAUUACUCUGUAUUGAAUAAGGAUGUGUUUUGUUAAAAAAUUCCAUUAUUUCCAUGGUAAUAAAGUAGAAAGAUUUUAUAUGGGUUUCUACUAUGUCUUUUAAAAAUUCUAUUUCUGCACUGAGUGUUAUUUUUAUACUCACUGAAGAAACUGAAAUUGCACUUUAAGAUUUAAGGGAAAUGUUAAACAGGAACGAUUUUCUAAAAACAAGGCCAGUGCUUCUCAUCUUGAAAGGGGAUGUGAUGGCUUCCAGGCACAUGGGACCAACUCCUUGCUCCGGUCUGAAAAGACACACGUCGCCUUCCCUUCCCGGAAGCUCGCAGGCCUCUGUGCCUCCUGGGCUGGUUCUCAAGCCCAGGACAGUGCCAAGAGGAUGAGCCCCAGGCCUUCUGCACAGCAAGACCCCUGGACUCCCCCACCAUGGAGCCCUGGGGCGGGCUGGUCUGCAGAGCAGCGGCCUGGGACCUGCACUUUAAGAAGCGCUGUCUGAUUUGAGUGGUGCUUAACAAAGCAGUAUGAGGAAGGAGCAAUGACAGGGGAGGACUCAUGGUCAAGCCACACAGCAGGGGCAGGAAGCCCGCGGCCCUUGCUGUGAGAAGAGCUCAGAUCAUUUUCACGUGCUGCUGUGACAGGCAGAGGAGGCUUAAGAAUAAUAGGAGUUUUGGAAGACAGAUUUGAUGGCAUACCCAAUAUAAGAAAUGGAUUAUGAGUAGGUGUAAAAUUGUCAUCUUUACUCUCUGUGUGCUUUCAGUUUACUCAAGGUCUUAGGCAAUGUCUUAACUACAAUUCCAGUUUUUCUCUCUCUGAGAAUGGAUUGCUUUGGCUGGGGAUUACUCACGGUGAACUUGCUUUGCGGGGAGAGUUGCCGACUGUCUUAAUUACAUUUUGAAAAACACAACAACUUGGGGUUAAACUGGAGAAGUUAAUGAUGAAUGCAGUCUGGGGUUCUUCCCCGGCUGCCUUCCCCUGCAGCCGCCCUGGAGGAGGCUGGCUGGCUCGCUCGCUCAGGAGUCCUCAGCGAUUCUUCUUUAUUCAGACAAAGGGACCUAAACUCUGCAGCCAAUGUUGCAGGACCCAAGUGGUCUGUCUCUGCCACCACCUCCUGCUCCCGAUGGCAAAUAAACAGGACAAAAGGAAA
RNAcentral lists this long non-coding RNA (1297 nucleotides) under Homo sapiens (human). Its description in RNAcentral is "HSALNT0406308". The record is from RNAcentral. Lineage: Eukaryota; Metazoa; Chordata; Mammalia; Primates; Hominidae.